AUGAGAGGCAAAACUAAUGUUUUUGCCCCAAGCACCUCCACCAGUACCUUUAGGUUCUGGAAAGGAGUGAAAUCCAUCAUCCAAACUUUGAAGUUUGGAUAUAGAUGGAAAAUAGGGACAGGAGAUAAGAUUAGGUUUUGGGAAGAUACUUGGUUUGGCACCUCCCCCCUAACAGUACAAUUCUGGCACAUCUACAUGGUUUGCAAUGAGCAAAACAAAAGUGUCAGGGAUGUAUGGGAUGGUGAAAUACUAAAGUUGACCUUUAGGAGGAACUUUGAUAAUAAGAUGAUGGAACAAUGGUACCAGCUAUUGGAUAUUGCUAAAGAAAUCAUCUUUGAUGGUGACUCUAAUGCCCUAAUCUAG
Molecule: ribosomal RNA, 363 nt
Filed under: Triticum aestivum (bread wheat)
Lineage: Eukaryota; Viridiplantae; Streptophyta; Magnoliopsida; Poales; Poaceae
Description: partial small subunit ribosomal RNA
Source: RNAcentral